UACGUAGGCAGCGAGCGUUGUUCGGAGUUACUGGGCGUAAAGCGUGCGUAGGCGGUGUCUUAAGUUUGUUGUGAAAUCUCCCGGCUUAACCGGGAGGGUGCGGCGAAUACUGAGAUGCUGGAGUGCCGGAGAGGUAAGCGGAGUUCCUGGUGUAGCGGUGAAAUGCGUAGAUAUCAGGAGGAACACCGGUGGCGAAGGCGGCAUCCUGGACCGAUAUUGACACUGAGGAGCGAAAGCUAGGGGAGCAAACGGG
This 253-nucleotide ribosomal RNA is filed under the name uncultured bacterium. RNAcentral's name for it is "partial 16S ribosomal RNA". It matches the Rfam family "Bacterial small subunit ribosomal RNA", at positions 524 to 776 of the family's 1533-position model. The record is from RNAcentral.